AUUGAACGCUGGCGGCAGGCCUAACACAUGCAAGUCGAACGGUAGCACAGAGAGCUUGCUCUCGGGUGACGAGUGGCGGACGGGUGAGUAACGUCUGGGAAACUGCCCGAUGGAGGGGGAUAACUACUGGAAACGGUAGCUAAUACCGCGUAACGUCGCAAGACCAAAGUGGGGGACCUUCGGGCCUCACACCAUCGGAUGUGCCCAGAUGGGAUUAGCUAGUAGGUGGGGUAAUGGCUCACCCAGGCGACGAUCCCUAGCUGGUCUGAGAGGAUGACCAGCCACACUGGAACUGAGACACGGUCCAGACUCCUACGGGAGGCAGCAGUGGGGAAUAUUGCACAAUGGGCGCAAGCCUGAUGCAGCCAUGCCGCGUGUAUGAAGAAGGCCUUCGGGUUGUAAAGUACUUUCAGCGGGGAGGAAGGCGGUGAAGUUAAUAGCUUCACCGAUUGACGUUACCCGCAGAAGAAGCACCGGCUAACUCCGUGCCAGCCGCCGCUGUAA
This 504-nucleotide ribosomal RNA is filed under the name uncultured bacterium. RNAcentral describes it as "partial 16S ribosomal RNA". It matches the Rfam family "Bacterial small subunit ribosomal RNA", at positions 30 to 523 of the family's 1533-position model. The record is from RNAcentral.